This 252-nucleotide ribosomal RNA is filed under the name uncultured bacterium. Its description in RNAcentral is "partial 16S ribosomal RNA". It matches the Rfam family "Bacterial small subunit ribosomal RNA", at positions 524 to 776 of the family's 1533-position model. The record is from RNAcentral.
UACAGAGGUCCCGAGCGUUGUUCGGAUUCAUUGGGCGUAAAGGGUGCGUAGGCGGUUUGCUAAGUUUGAUGUGAAAUUCCAGGGCUCAACCCUGGCAUGGCAUUGAAUACUGGCGGACUAGAGUACUGGAGAGGAAACUGGAAUUUACGGUGUAGCAGUGAAAUGCGUAGAGAUCGUAAGGAAGACCAGUGGCGAAGGCGAGUUCUGGACAGUAACUGACGCUGAGGCACGAAGGCCAGGGGAGCAAACGGG